ACGGGUGAGUAACGCGUGGGAACGUACCUUUUGGUUCGGAACAACUGAGGGAAACUUCAGCUAAUACCGGAUAAGCCCUUACGGGGAAAGAUUUAUCGCCGAAAGAUCGGCCCGCGUCUGAUUAGCUAGUUGGUGAGGUAACGGCUCACCAAGGCGACGAUCAGUAGCUGGUCUGAGAGGAUGAUCAGCCACAUUGGGACUGAGACACGGCCCAAACUCCUACGGGAGGCAGCAGUGGGGAAUAUUGGACAAUGGGCGAAAGCCUGAUCCAGCCAUGCCGCGUGAGUGAUGAAGGCCCUAGGGUUAUAAAGCUCUUUUGUGCGGGAAGAUAAUGACGGUACCGCAAGAAUAAGCCCCGGCUAACUUCGUGCCAGCAGCCGCGGUAAUACGAAGGGGGCUAGCGUUGCUCGGAAUCACUGGGCGUAAAGGGUGCGUAGGCGGGUCUUUAAGUCAGAGGUGAAAUCCUGGAGCUCAACUCCAGAACUGCCUUUGAUACUGAGGAUCUUGAGCUCGGGAGAGGUGAGUGGAACUGCGAGUGUAGAGGUGAAAUUCGUAGA
Molecule: ribosomal RNA, 557 nt
Filed under: uncultured bacterium
Lineage: Bacteria
Description: bacterial SSU rRNA
Rfam family: Bacterial small subunit ribosomal RNA
Source: RNAcentral